This 725-nucleotide long non-coding RNA is filed under the name Hordeum vulgare. RNAcentral describes it as "long non-coding RNA (HVUL_LNC005589)". The record is from RNAcentral. Lineage: Eukaryota; Viridiplantae; Streptophyta; Magnoliopsida; Poales; Poaceae.
UAAUAUUUACCUAAUAAUAAAGAGGCUAUCGCUUUCGUCGAAAAACCCACCGAGGUGAUUUUACAAAAAAGUUCUUACUGUUUAUGACAUUAAACUCGUAGUAUAUAUUAAAUAUUUUUUUAAAUACUCAUAUCUUUUAAACUGUAACUUCAAAUUUAACAUAUUAUACAUGGAAUUUGAUUAAAAAAAUAUGUAGAAUUUAAAUAUGAUAUUAUUUUAUCUGUUAAACGUUUAAUAAAAAUACUAUCUAGGGUGCAAUCUUAAUAAAUAAGUCAUUAUUCGUCUUUCUUUCAUACCGGUACUCAUCCGGGUUGGAAAUGAACACGUCAACAAAAUGAGGAUUAGAGAUGAAACUGAAGGUCACUUGACUGAUUCUUUGUACGUAUUAAAUCUACAUGCAAGCCGUGUUAAAAUAGAAGACCUGUGAAAUUUUGAACUGCAUUUUUGUAAGAUAAGACCAUCUUUAUUUGUAUUGUAACUAUAAAUUCUCAAAUUAUAGACAUUUUUUAUAAAUUAAGAGCGUGUGCCGUGUGGUAUUUCUUUCUCCCGUUGCAACGCAUGGGCCCUUUUGCUAUUCUCCCGUGGCUUCCGUCGGAAAACCCACCGCGACAUUUUUAUAAAAAAGCCCCUGUAAUUUUUGUUAUUCAACCCGCGCUUCAUCAUUUAUCUGCAACGCAAAAGGAAAAAAACGAUUCGCUGCAAAAAUUAUACCCGUACGCAUCCGC